Long non-coding RNA from Armigeres subalbatus, 1188 nucleotides. RefSeq lists it as uncharacterized. The transcript is spliced from 3 exons. Lineage: Eukaryota; Metazoa; Arthropoda; Insecta; Diptera; Culicidae. The record is from RefSeq and is a predicted model, not a curated record.
GUGUCAAGUUAGUGAAACCUAUCCGAAAGAACUUUUAGUGACGACGAGGAAAAUAUUGAGUUUUUAACGCGUGCAAAAGUGAAGUACGUACUUAGUAGUGUAGUGAACGUGGAAUUAGUGGAAAACGGAUUUGGCCAAGUCAGCAACGAACGGAGAGAUCAGCAGAGGACAGAUCUGGUGCGGAUGUGGGCAUUUACAAUCGAAGGAAGCAGAGGACAAGCUUUGUGCGAAGGGAAGAGUACUGGACCGUAAGAGUUACAUUUGCUGGACCGUGUGGAAUAAAGAUCCGAUUUCGUCCGGCGGGAAACGCGGCGAAUCGUGGAAGCUGGUUGGUAAAGCCGGUCGCAAGCGACGCCAUUCCAACCGCUGACCAUUGUUUUGGGCGUGUUUGCGCUAUUGUAGCGACACAACUUUUGACGGAUUGCAAGAAUCUGAGGCGAUUUGAUUCGAUCGGCAGUGGAAGUGUCCUACGGUACGACGUUGUACUAGCCAAAACUUCAGAACGGAUCUAGGGGGCCACAGCCGGAAAACUUCGCAACUGGGCCGGGGCGAAGGAAGUAAUCUUGCAGGAUGGCGUUUCGUCUGGUGGAGGAAAGGCGAGGAUCCAAGAGGCGGCGAGCGAAUUCUGAUGAUGAACCCUUUCAGGGGUUUUUGCCCUCCCAACUACAGCCGCCCCCAUCUAGAAACCAAGUCCACCCUCAGGCGCUCGGCUGUGCUACUCAUAUAGCAAAGCGAAAACCAACACAGGGCCAGCUGGAUGUUGACAUAGAAAGCGAACUAAGGAGGUCGUCUCGCAUCCGGAAAAAGAAUAAUGAAAAAAUGCUUGUGUAUUACAAAUAAUCGAAUUACUGUUUCAGUUGGUGUAGUUGCAAGGAAUAUUAAGUGAAUUAAACCUUUCAGAAUUUAAAGAAUUUAUUCGAUAAAACAAAUUGUAAUUUUCGGUUUCAAAUCUCUAUAUGUAUUAAUUAGGUUAUAUAUUUCGAACUAUAAAAGGGAAGGCAUUGUAAGAUUGUGUUGUGGUUAACAUGUUUUCGACUGUUCGGUCUGAACUCCUUUGAUCGACGAAUAUUAGAAGCGAGACAGAAACAUACGAAACAGAAAAACAGUUCAACAAUAUCAACAAUACAAAUGUAUUUAGUGCAUUCAUGGAAAGUGUUUAUAAGCGAAUUCAAUAAAAUUGAUUAAUCU